CUUCUUUAUCGUCAUCAUCAUUGUCAUCUUUAACUUGGAUAAGCCCAUCAUCGCCGCCAGUAACAACUGAGAGUCUGGCUAAUGUAUAUGUUUGUAAACUUGAUGGAAUUGAAAUUAGCAGAGAAAGUUCCCUGAAGGAGGCAUUGGUUUUGUUCGAAGACUUCGCCGAUCUGUGUCAAAGCAUAACAAAAGCUAUCAUAGGCCAAC
This is a long non-coding RNA of Stylophora pistillata, 207 nucleotides long. NCBI's taxonomy places the organism in Eukaryota, Metazoa, Cnidaria, Anthozoa, Scleractinia, Pocilloporidae. The record is from RefSeq and is a predicted model, not a curated record.